CCCCAUCGCAAGAUUGCGGAGAUGCAUCCGUAUGUGAACGUUACCAAACUGUUGCCUCGGCGGGAUCUCUGCCCCGGGUGCGUCGCAGCCCCGGACCAAGGCGCCCGCCGGAGGACCAACCAAAACUCUUAUUGUAUACCCCCUCGCGGGUUUUUUUAUAAUCUGAGCCUUCUCGGCGCCUCUCGUAGGCGUUUCGAAAAUGAAUCAAAACUUUCAACAACGGAUCUCUUGGUUCUGGCAUCGAUGAAGAACGCAGCGAAAUGCGAUAAGUAAUGUGAAUUGCAGAAUUCAGUGAAUCAUCGAAUCUUUGAACGCACAUUGCGCCCGCCAGUAUUCUGGCGGGCAUGCCUGUCCGAGCGUCAUUUCAACCCUCGAACCCCUCCGGGGGGUCGGCGUUGGGGAUCGGCCCUGCCUUGGCGGUGGCCGUCUCCGAAAUACAGUGGCGGUGGCGCCGCAGCCUCUCCCGCGCAGUAUUUUGCACACUCGCAUCGGGAGCGCGGAGCGUCCACAGCCGUUAAACACCCUACUUCUGAAAUGUUGACCUCGGAUCAGGUAAAACUACCCGCUGAUCUUCAGCAUAUCAAUAGGCGAGGGGAUUUUACCGAGUUUUACACUCCAAACCCCAAUGUGAAGUUACAAACUGUUGCCUCGGCGGGAUCUCUGCCCGGGGUGCGUCCAACCCCCGGAACAAGGCGCCCGCCGGAGGACCAACCAAAACUCUAUUGUAUACCCCCUCGCGGGUUUUUUUAUAAAUCUGAGCCUUCUCGCGCCACUCGUAGGCGUUUCGAAAAUGAUCAAACUUUCA
Molecule: ribosomal RNA, 805 nt
Filed under: Trichoderma lixii
Lineage: Eukaryota; Fungi; Ascomycota; Sordariomycetes; Hypocreales; Hypocreaceae
Description: eukaryotic LSU rRNA
Rfam family: 5.8S ribosomal RNA (bases 209-362)
Source: RNAcentral